This 253-nucleotide ribosomal RNA is filed under the name uncultured bacterium. Its description in RNAcentral is "partial 16S ribosomal RNA". It matches the Rfam family "Bacterial small subunit ribosomal RNA", at positions 524 to 776 of the family's 1533-position model. The record is from RNAcentral.
UACGUAGGGCGCAAGCGUUGUCCGGAAUUAUUGAGCGUAAAGAGCUCGUAGGCGGCUUGUCACGUCGGGUGUGAAAGCCCGGGGCUUAACCCCGGGUCUGCAUUCGAUACGGGCAGGCUAGAGUGUGGUAGGGGAGAUCGGAAUUCCUGGUGUAGCGGUGAAAUGCGCAGAUAUCAGGAGGAACACCGGUGGCGAAGGCGGAUCUCUGGGCCAUUACUGACGCUGAGGAGCGAAAGCGUGGGGAGCGAACAGG